UCAGUUGGUGUGAUGUGUUACAAUACAGAAGGGACCGAGGCAGAUAUAACAGGUAGAGAGGUUUAUUGAUACCAGCACGAGACAAACAGUAGUGCAGGUGAAUAAUAAGUGAUGAAAUGGAUGAAGUAGAGAGUGCAGAGAAGUGAUACUGUCCUUGUUGAUUGUAGACACGGGUUGAUUCGGAAGACGCUGGAGAAACGUGACACUGGAGACCAGGAACACUCACACACAGAUGGGAUUCACACGAGGAGAACAGGAGACGCUGGAGACAGGCAAGUAGUUCGGUAGGAGUCCUUGAGGUAAGCAUUCAGGUAAGACGUAAUGCAAACGAGACCGGACAAUGUGGCUGUGUGUGUGAGUGCUCUUUAUGCUGGUGGUGAUUGCGGUGAUAAUGAGGUGCAGGUGCGGGUGAUCAGUACUCUGGAGAGUCAGUGAUUGUGAUUGGUGAGCGGUGGAGCUUGGCGUGUCUGUGACAGAUGUAACCUGACUAGUUGUGGAAAAAUUUCAAAUUUCAGUUUUAGCCAGAAUUAUUUUGUCAUGCAGAGGGAUCUGUGGAGCCAGUCAGCGGUCUGCUGCACGUGAAACUGCCAGAAGAGCAGGCAAACUGGAUGAAGAGGGCCUUGAGGUGGUUGUUUGCAGACACAGAGAGCUACUCAAGGCUCUUAACAUGAACAGGGGGAAAUAUUUGCCUAUCCACUGUUCCUGCAGAAGGAGCUCCAAGCAGCCACAAACGGACAGCUCUACUGCACAGAUAUUGCUUGCAAGUAUCGGCCCUACCUUGAGAAGCUGUCAGUCUCCAUGUUGAACUCAGACCUUUACUGCAGAUGAGAUCGUUCCUUUCUGUCAUGCCAAGACUCAUUCAACCAAGUGUGAGGUGCUGCAUAUUCUUCAUCAUUUGAAAUUGUAUCUUUAUUACUUAAAUAAUACACUGUAUAUGAUUAUAAUAUAAGUGCCACACUGAUUUGUUAGAUAAUCUGGAGUGGCAAAAAUCAGGAAGGUGCUGCACAACUGCAGGGGAGGAGGUCGAGAUGAUAAACAGUUACCUGUCUCGUUGUGCCCUCACAACCAAGAACAUGACAAAAUCUGACUUUCAAAAAGGCUGAGGCUGAGUCUCAGAGACUGGAGGAUUUGAGCAGUGAACUGGGGUGUCCUGAGAACAGAUUCUGUAGGUACCAGAUGUGAUGACCA
Molecule: long non-coding RNA, 1188 nt
Organism: Ctenopharyngodon idella (grass carp)
Lineage: Eukaryota; Metazoa; Chordata; Actinopteri; Cypriniformes; Xenocyprididae
Exons: 3
Source: RefSeq, a predicted model, not a curated record